This 266-nucleotide signal recognition particle RNA is filed under the name Fidelibacterota bacterium. Its description in RNAcentral is "signal recognition particle sRNA large type". It matches the Rfam family "Bacterial large signal recognition particle RNA". From Rfam's summary of the family: The signal recognition particle (SRP) is a universally conserved ribonucleoprotein involved in the co-translational targeting of proteins to membranes. Archaeal SRP consists of a 7S RNA and homologues of the eukaryotic SRP19 and SRP54 proteins. Lineage: Bacteria; Pseudomonadati; Fidelibacterota. The record is from RNAcentral.
CCGUGCUAGAUGGGGAAUUAGCGGUGCCCUGUAACCUGCAAUCCGCUACAGCAGGGUCGAUGCUAUUGCUAGGCGAUUAGCGCUUUAUUAGCUUGUUUUAGAAAGUGUUGAAUCUUUGUACUGUUGCAAUAGUUAGUUGAUGAAAUCCGUCAGGCCUGGAAAGGAGCAGCGGUAAGUCCUACUAACUAUGUGCUGAUAUGUCUUCGAAGAUGAGCUGGCUAAAAUAAUCCUAAUAGAAAACGGAAUCGUCGAACAAAAGUGCACGG